This 1651-nucleotide long non-coding RNA is filed under the name Gopherus agassizii (Agassiz's desert tortoise). Its description in RNAcentral is "lncRNA (ENSGAGG00000004000.1)". The record is from RNAcentral. Lineage: Eukaryota; Metazoa; Chordata; Testudines; Testudinidae.
AUGGGACCUGCCUUCCUUCCUGGCCUGGGAAAGGCGGCUGUCCUGUUUGCUGCCCCUUCCCCCUUUGUCUGUCUAGCAGGGGCUGGAGGUGGGGAGGAGUCUGGGACACUGGAAGGACUCAGCUCCCCCCCAAGGAAGAGGAACCUUGAGGUCCCUGUCGGUUCUACCUGCAGGUUCUCCUUGCAUCAAAUCACAGGCCAGUCUGCGUCCUCUCUGGACACUGGGGGGGGUCACUGCUCACAGGGGGUGUCUUCCGCUUCUCAGCCCCCCGCCUGCCCCAGCUGGUUCCACUGGGGGGUCAGACAGGCACCCAGCCUGCCUGUGCACAGCCCCUGCCUAUGCCAUGUCACACACUCGGCUCCAUGCCUGCCCCAGCUGGUUCCGCUGGGGGGUCAGACCAGCCCCCAGCCUGCCUGCGCACAGCCCCUGCCUAUGUCAUGUCACACACUCAGCUCCAUGCCUGCCCCAGCUGGUUCCGCUGGGGGGUCAGACCGGCCCCCAGCCUGCCUGCGCACAGCCCCUGCCUAUGUCAUGUCACACACUCGGCUCCCCUCCUGCCCCAGCUGGUUCCGCUGGGGGUCAGACAGGCACCCAGGCUGCCUGCGCACAGCCCCUGCCUAUGUCGUGUCACACACUCUGCUCCACGCCUGAGGGCCUGUGAACACCAGCUCUCCCGGGCCAAGCAGCAGCAGCAUUUUUAUGGUGUCUGUCCCCAGCGCUUGGGCCUGCUGGGCUGCAUGGAAAGCCCCUGGUGCAGUCCGGGAAUAGCUGGUCCCAGCUGCUCGUAGCAGGAACCGGUGUCUUCCACAGGGGCUGCCUGUUUGGAUGGUCUCCCCUGGGGCUUAAUGGGCCGUAGCAGGUUCCAGACCAGUCCUGGGGCCCUGCCCAGAUGCAGGGGGAAACUAGGGCCGGAGUCACUUGCCUCUGGUUCCGAGUCGCCCUUGGGUGUGUUGCGACCUGCCGAGGAUCCUUGAUGCACUGUUUCCGCUGGCACUAGCUGCUGGCUUUUCUUAGGUGCCUCGGAGGCUGCCAGGGCCACAGGCUGAACUUUGCCUCUUGUGAGCAGGGGCAAAGGGAAUCUCGCACGUCCCCCUGCACCUGGUCUCUGCAUGAGCCACCUGCAGUGCUCUCGGUCCCGGCCCCUUCGCCGGUUCAGUCGUGACGGCCCCUUGGGGGGUGGUGCUGCUGCUCUGACUGCCCCCCACGGGGGAGCUCCUGCCUUGCUGAGGUGAGGAUGCUGCCCUGGGCGUGUGUUGGGGUGGGAGGGUGGCUUUGAAGUGGGAUCUCUCCAAGGGGGAGCUGUGAUGCCCUCCCUCAGCACUAGCCAAACUAGAGCCCCAGCGUCUUCAGGAAGCAGCUCCUGGCCCUGUCUCGUCUCGUAUUGUCUGGGUCAAAUUGAACUGAAGCAGAGACAGCUAGGCAGGGGAAGCAUCAGGCAGCCCGGGGGGAGGGGGAGGAAUUGCUCGGGAAGUGGCUGGGAGGCUGUUAGCUUUUCCCAGUCCCCCUUGCUGAGUUGGGCUGUGCGUGGGGGGCCCUUAGGGCCAGGAGGCCUUUGGGAGGGCUGAAGGGUGACUUGGCCUUGUGGGUAUUUGGUUCUUUCCUUCUCUGAUCCCUGCAGUGAUGUGACACGUAACUUCCCCCGCCACUAGCA